UAAGGAAUAUUGGUCAAUGGACGCAAGUCUGAACCAGCCAUGCCGCGUGGAGGAUGAAGGUCCUCUGGAUUGUAAACUUCUUUUAUAUGGGACGAAAAAGGGCUUUUCUAAGUCAACUGACGGUACCAUAUGAAUAAGCACCGGCUAACUCCGUGCCAGCAGCCGCGGUAAUACGGAGGGUGCAAGCGUUAUCCGGAUUCACUGGGUUUAAAGGGUGCGUAGGUGGGUUGGUAAGUCAGUGGUGAAAUCCCCGAGCUUAACUCGGGAACUGCCAUUGAUACUAUCAGUCUUGAAUACCGUGGAGGUCAGCGGAAUAUGUCAUGUAGCGGUGAAAUGCUUAGAUAUGACAUAGAACACCAAUUGCGAAGGCAGCUGGCUACACGAUUAUUGACACUGAGGCACGAAAGCGUGGGGAUCAAACAGGAUUAGAUACCCUGGUAGUCCACGCCCUAAACUAUGGAUACUCGACAUACGCGAUAC
RNAcentral lists this ribosomal RNA (480 nucleotides) under uncultured Bacteroidota bacterium. RNAcentral describes it as "bacterial SSU rRNA". It matches the Rfam family "Bacterial small subunit ribosomal RNA", at positions 355 to 832 of the family's 1533-position model. Lineage: Bacteria; Pseudomonadati; Bacteroidota. The record is from RNAcentral.